RNAcentral lists this ribosomal RNA (40 nucleotides) under Pachykytospora tuberculosa. RNAcentral's name for it is "partial 28S ribosomal RNA". The record is from RNAcentral. Lineage: Eukaryota; Fungi; Basidiomycota; Agaricomycetes; Polyporales; Polyporaceae.
CUCUGACCUCAAAUCARGUAGGACUACCCGCUGAACUUAA